AGGGCUUGUUGUUUGGGAAAAUUCUGAUUUCUUUUUCUGGUAUUAUGUUGUUGACACAAAAAAGUAUAUAAUCCGUAAUGACGUCACACAUUCCUUCUAAUGUUUGUUCUGCAUCAUAGAACAUGUCCCAAUCCGUACACGCAAAACAUCCUUGUAGGUCAUCUAAUGCUGGAC
This is a long non-coding RNA of Haliotis rubra (blacklip abalone), 174 nucleotides long. RefSeq lists it as uncharacterized. NCBI's taxonomy places the organism in Eukaryota, Metazoa, Mollusca, Gastropoda, Lepetellida, Haliotidae. The transcript has 3 exons. The record is from RefSeq and is a predicted model, not a curated record.